Molecule: ribosomal RNA, 254 nt
Filed under: uncultured bacterium
Lineage: Bacteria
Description: partial 16S ribosomal RNA
Rfam family: Bacterial small subunit ribosomal RNA
Source: RNAcentral
UACGUAGGGUGCGAGCGUUGUCCGGAAUUAUUGGGCGUAAAGAGCUCGUAGGCGGUGUGUUACGUCGGCCGUGAAAACCUGCAGCUUAACUGUGGGCGUGCGGUCGAUACGGGCAUCACUGGAGUUCGGCAGGGGAGACUGGAAUUCCUGGUGUAGCGGUGAAAUGCGCAGAUAUCAGGAGGAACACCGGUGGCGAAGGCGGGUCUCUGGGCCGAAACUGACGCUGAGGAGCGAAAGCGUGGGGAGCAAACAGG